AAUUUUAUUUAUAUGAUAUGUUGCAAGCAUAUUUAAAAAGUUUUUCUUUAAAAUUA
RNAcentral lists this transfer RNA (56 nucleotides) under Ramazzottius varieornatus. RNAcentral describes it as "tRNA-Cys". The record is from RNAcentral. Lineage: Eukaryota; Metazoa; Tardigrada; Eutardigrada; Parachela; Ramazzottiidae.